ACGCGUCCAGCAGGUGAUGUGCCUCAGCGUCCGCGCUACACUUUGGUUGCAGAGUGCCGCGGGGAAUACCUUUAAAGGAAUCCCUCAAAGGAUGCAAUCAGAAUACUGAGGGAAGGGCAGAAUUCAUUUAACAGUUCCUAUUGGUGUUGUGAAAUCUGUUCAGAUCAUUAGUUCACCGUAGUGACAUCUUGUCUUAAUAACAUUUUAUGUAACUAAAGCUGGUGAAUAACAACAUUUCUCAUAGCCUGUGUUGAGAAUCAUGGCUGUGGCCUCCAGGUGAUCCGUGACUCCUUCGUGAUUUGUACGUGUCCUGAUAGGGGUCAGAAUACUCUUCCUCCAUCAGUGGGUAUUGGCCUCGGCUGUGCUGGGAACCUGAAGACAAGCGAUUCCUGUUCUUCCGCGCCCUCUCACUGUGACCGUUUUCAUCGGAGUGCACCAAGCGUGUUCGUUCAACGGGUUCAUUUCAUUAAUUGACUUUAAAUUACCAGCCACUGUUGCUGGAAUUGAACAGGACUAUGAACAUUUCAUGAAAUAAAUGUGAGUCGCACAAGAUGUAAGUGGCAUAUUAAAGAUUACAUGUGGUUGAUUGGAUCAGUUGUUUCCUUUUAAUUUAAAUGGCAUUUUUUUUAAAGCCGAAGGAUACCUUUCUGUAUCUAAAAUGUAGAACAGAAGAAGCAUUUUAGAAGGUUAUAGAUAGAGGGGGUGAGAACAGCACCUGGCACAAUAUAGAGUUCAUUAGAACGCUGACAAAAAUGUCUUAAGUGCGUGUGGGUUGGGAUUACAUUCAUUGAGUGAGUAACACUAUAUAUGUGAUUAGUGAGUUAAUCUUUGCACCUGGGUACGAGAAUGUGCAGUUUUCAAUUGCCUGAAUUGAAACAUGGGUCAUGGC
This is a long non-coding RNA of Leucoraja erinaceus (little skate), 889 nucleotides long. RefSeq lists it as uncharacterized. The transcript is spliced from 3 exons. The record is from RefSeq and is a predicted model, not a curated record. Lineage: Eukaryota; Metazoa; Chordata; Chondrichthyes; Rajiformes; Rajidae.